CCACGUGACCAGCAAUAAAACUCCAUGGCGGCGCACUGCUCAGUAGGACUCGCCGCAAGAUCAGGUCUGGGUGGUUUCCUGCGGAGAGCUUGUUGUUUACGAAGCUGUGGUCCCCCCACAGCCCUGCUGUGUCAGCAACAUCGGCACUUCUUCUGGAGGAAGUGGAGUCAUUCUCACAAUGUAGUUCGCCCAGCUUCUGUUAGGCCUGCCUAUGCAGUUCCCAAGCACAUUGUGCGGCCUGACUAUGUUGGCACUGGCCAGGUCCCAGAAUGGCCCAACUACAUCGAGAUCAAAGACCAAGAGCAGAUUGAAGGCCUUACCAGAGCAUGUCAGCUAGCCAGACAUGUACUGCUACUAGCUGGACGCAGCCUGAGGGUUGGUAUGACAACAGAUGAAAUAGACUUCAUCGUUCACCAGGAGACAAUCAAGCACAACGCCUACCCAUCCCCUCUCAGAUACGGGGGUUUCCCAAAGUCUGUGUGUACAUCUGUGAACAACGUGGUCUGCCAUGGUAUACCUGACAGUCGGCAACUUCAAGACGGAGACAUCAUCAACGUUGAUGUCACUGUGUAUUUGGAUGGUUACCAUGGUGACACCUCAGAAACCUUCUUGAUUGGUGAGGUGGAUGAGGUUGGGCGGCGACUGGUGGAAACUGCCAGGCGCUGCCGAGAUGAGGCCAUCGCUGCCUGCAGGCCGGGUGCACAGCUCUGUGUCAUAGGAAACACUAUUAGUGAAAUCGCCCACGCCAAUGGCUUCCAUGUGUGUCCGUAUUUCAUUGGACAUGGAAUAGGCUCCCACUUUCACUGCCACCCUGAGAUCUGGCACCACGCUAAUGACAAUGACAUGACCAUGGAUGAAGGGAUGUCUUUCACAAUAGAGCCCAUAGUGAUGGAGGGGACUACAGAGUUUAGAAUCCUGAAGGACAAGUGGACCGCAGUGUCUGCAGACGAUAAAAGGGUCGCGGGGGGGCUGGAGCCUAUCCCAGCUGACAUCGGGCAAGAGGCAGGGUACACCCUGGACAGGUCACCAGACUAUCGCAGGGCUGACACAUAGAGACAAACAACCAUUCACGCUCACAUUCACACCUACGGACAAUUUAGAGUUACCAAUUAACCUAGUCCCCAAUCUGCAUGUGUUUGGACUGUGGGAGGAAGCCGGAGUGCCCGGAGAGAACCCACGCUGACACGGGGAGAACAUGCAAACUCCGCACAGAAGGGCUCCCACACCCGGGAUCGAACUGACAACCCUCUUACUGUGAGGUCGGCUCAGUUCGAACACACCGUGGUCAUCACAUCUGACGGAGUGGAUAUUCUCACCAAACUGCCAGAGGAGAGCAAUCAGUGACCUGAAGGAAUCUUAACUGCUGAUCCCGACAUCAACUGUUAGAGAUCUAUUUACCUCAGACAGGAUCUAAACUACCUUUUGUGUUCACAAAACACUGUUAUAAAAAGAAUUAAGUUAAUUGUAAGUAGGGAUUACACACAUACAGUAUCUGUAUAUUCAGUUUGACUAUGGUGUUUUUUCACCCUUGAUUGGAGCAUAUACAGAGAAAAAUGGCAGUUGGUGCAUCUCACGGCUGAAGUGGUGCUCUGUGCAUAUCAUGAGUGGUUAUAAUGACAGGAUAAGAGAUCCUUGUCUUCUCCAAAUUAUAGUGUAUUCUUUUUGAGCCAACAUGUCAUGUAACAGUUAAAUCGGAGCAACAUUAGUAAGGCCUCGGCCAGGAUUUGAGAAAUACUGAGGUCAUGAGUCCAAAUUCCCUGGCACAACCCAAUCUACAUAAGACACUUAAGACUUGCCAUCAACCACACUGUAAAAAGUUCUCAUUGUUUCACCUGUUAUGUAUUCAUUUAACUGUUUAAUCAUAUUCUCUGUAUUAUUUAUCUCACAUCAUCCAAGUCAGUGGUUCCCAGCCUCUUUACACAAGGGACCCCUUUUCUAUCAUUGAGUAAACUGUUGACCCCUGA
Molecule: RNA transcript, 1964 nt
Organism: Epinephelus fuscoguttatus (brown-marbled grouper)
Lineage: Eukaryota; Metazoa; Chordata; Actinopteri; Perciformes; Serranidae
Gene: metap1d
Gene name: methionyl aminopeptidase type 1D (mitochondrial)
Exons: 11
Source: RefSeq, a predicted model, not a curated record